AGUUUUUAACUCAAGUGGCGGACGGGUGGGUAACACGUAAGAAUUUGCCUUUAGGAGGGGGAUAACAACUGGAAACGGUUGCUAAUACCCUAUAUGCUUUCGAGUAAAAUGGAUUUUUCCGCCUAAAGAGAAGCUUGCGGCUGAUUAGCUUGUUGGUGAGGUAAUGGCUUACCAAGGCGACGAUCAGUAUCUGGUUUGAGAGGACGAUCAGACACACUGGAACUGAGACACGGUCCAG
Molecule: ribosomal RNA, 238 nt
Filed under: uncultured bacterium
Lineage: Bacteria
Description: partial 16S ribosomal RNA
Rfam family: Bacterial small subunit ribosomal RNA
Source: RNAcentral